CGCAUCAAGUGGAGAUUGACAUUAUUGCAUCUCCGACGGUUACUCCUUGCCAAGGAUACUCUGUAGAGGAACCCAUGUCUGGUCCCACUGACGAAACCCCAGGGGGGGAUUAGUGGGUCUCUGAAGAAUUCGAUCAAGGUGACGGCUACCCGUGUGAGGGUUGUGUUGCAGGGCAACAGUGACAGAUUCCAUCUACUGUACUCCUUUGAUUCUUUAGGUAUAUGUCCCUUUUGUACUAUCGAUAUAUAAAUUACUAUUUCUUGUGUAAAUAUCAUGCUUACAAGCCCACAUGUAAAUACUUUAUGUAUAACAAUUUAGGUAUCAAGAGUAUAUGGGGAAUUACAGGUAAC
Long non-coding RNA from Macadamia integrifolia, 350 nucleotides. RefSeq lists it as uncharacterized. The transcript has 2 exons. The record is from RefSeq and is a predicted model, not a curated record. NCBI's taxonomy places the organism in Eukaryota, Viridiplantae, Streptophyta, Magnoliopsida, Proteales, Proteaceae.